This 77-nucleotide transfer RNA is filed under the name Collinsella ureilytica. RNAcentral describes it as "tRNA-His". It matches the Rfam family "tRNA". From Rfam's summary of the family: Transfer RNA (tRNA) molecules are approximately 80 nucleotides in length. Their secondary structure includes four short double-helical elements and three loops (D, anti-codon, and T loops). Lineage: Bacteria; Bacillati; Actinomycetota; Coriobacteriia; Coriobacteriales; Coriobacteriaceae. The record is from RNAcentral.
GUGGGUGUAGCUCAGUUGGUUAGAGCGACGGACUGUGGCUCCGUAGGUCGAGGGUUCGAGUCCCUUUACCCACCCCA